CUCCCCAUUCCUACUCCUUAAACCUUGUUCUUUUUCUUUCUGUGUUGGCAAAGGGCAGUACCGUUGACCCUAGACUCAUCUCAGAAAGGGCACAUCGAUGGUUCUGAAGUGAAGGUGCUACCACUUUUCCUCCUGUGGAAAUAUUGCCCCAUUGCUUAAGCCAUUCCGCUGGGGCUUUUUCACCAUCUUUGGUUUCCGAAAAGGACUGGAUAUACUAGGGAGAUGACGUCAUGGUUUCUAUCUGCUAAAUAUAGGACCUCCACCUAGUAAAUGGGCUGAUGGGGAAGCUUGACCCCCUGGCCUGAACUCGGCCCACACGACGGAACACUCCGCGCGCAUUCCAAAGCCGGUGAGCGCAUCCCCGCGCUGCCCACGUCCCCGCCCUGGGAAACGGCUCCGCGGCUCCCCGUCUCCAAUGAGCGGGCUAUUUCUGUCGGCGGGCAGCGGUGCUUCGCAGAUAACUACCUGCCGCCGCCUCUCUCCUUCCUGGCCUCUUUUGGUCACGGCUUCCCCCCGCUCGACCUUCUAUGUCUAAAACAGGCGCGGUUCAGAGGCUCCGGGGCACGUUUCAGCACCCGGCUCCCUCAUGGACUCGGACAUUUCCACGUCCUUGGAGUCCUCGCAGUUUGGGGGGAGCGAGCGGCGGUGCCCCAGCCUGCUUCCAGGCAGAGCGGCAUUUCCAGGCUACGGAAUUCUUUCCGCAACAAUCGACGUUCCCGAGGCUGAGAACAAAUGUCCCCCCGAGCCUCCCUCUCCCGUGGAGAGGCCGGCCGUAGCUUCGGGCUUCGAUCUGAGAGGCCCCCGGAGCUGCAGCCGCAGCUAAGGGAAAACCUGCGCGGCGCAGCCAUAUUUAAUAGGAGUCAGAGUGGAGAUUGCCAGUUGUUGCAGGAUGAGACUCUUCUCUCCCCUCUUUAUGACCUUGAUAUUGGAGGCAUGCGUGAUGACUCUUCCGCAAACAGCCUUUGCACACAUCUGUUCCCUUGGCAAAACUGAAAUUGAGAAUUCAGAACUUAAUGGAAAUGACUUACAACAGCUGUGAGGUUGGCUGUUCAAGCUUCAUUAGAAGCAGCAAGUCACCCACCAUUUGGGAAUUUUAAUAUGGUGUUGUUAUCUUUAAUUCUACAUGUAUACCUCAUUUUGUUGGACUUUAUAAAUAUUAUUAUUAUUUUUUAAAUCAAAGAUUUGUGGCAACCUCAAAUCAAGAAAGUCCAUUGGUGCCAUUUUUCCAACAUGUGCUCAGAUCAUGUCUGUGUGUCACAUGUUGAUAAAACUGAAAUUUUCCAUUCGUCCUUGUCCCUAUUGCUAAGGCAUUCCGUGAUAUAGUUGGAGCAAGGAGGAGAAGAUAAUAGGAAUGGUCUUGGAAAUGAGGAACCCAAUGAAAAGGAGAUUAUAACCAUCCAGGUAUAUAAGGUUUAGUUAGGACUAUUACAUUUGUCAAUGUAUGAAGUGGUACAAAAGAAAAGGUGAGAAUUUCCAUCAAUCUAUCAAUAAACAAGGUACUUUGCUUAAUUAUUGUUAUUUG
Molecule: long non-coding RNA, 1522 nt
Filed under: Monodelphis domestica (gray short-tailed opossum)
Lineage: Eukaryota; Metazoa; Chordata; Mammalia; Didelphimorphia; Didelphidae
Description: lncRNA (ENSMODG00000049241.1)
Source: RNAcentral